This 7377-nucleotide long non-coding RNA is filed under the name Triticum aestivum (bread wheat). RNAcentral's name for it is "long non-coding RNA (TAES_LNC001859)". Lineage: Eukaryota; Viridiplantae; Streptophyta; Magnoliopsida; Poales; Poaceae. The record is from RNAcentral.
CAUCUCCGUUUCGUAUAUUUUCGUCUAUGUUUAGUCCCACAUUGCCUAUCCUUUGACCCUUAAACCUCUCUUUCACCUAUAAAUAUAGACCCAGAGCCUCCAAAAAUCAUCCGAUUGGGGUUAAAUCAAUAUUUUGGUUUGACUAGAUAAAAAUAUUUUUCUCCUCUCCAGCGCGACUUUUGGAAAUUGUCUCCUUUCUCCAAAGUCAUCUUUUCUCUGUCUUAUAAAGGUAUCUUUCUUUAUACUUCCAUAGUUUAUUAUUUCUAGACUAAUACGAUAGAAUAAUUAGAUUAUCAAUUAGUCUAUGUAUUUAUACAUUAGACCCUAGCCGUAGCUAUUUUUCUUCCGUAAAACAGCUUGACCCUGAUUUUUCAAAUAGCCAUAAUUUUUUACUCGUUCAUCCAAAUUAGAUGAAACCAACGCCUAUAGCUUCGUCUUGUUUUUAUCUAUCUAGUGAACCUGUCACGUCAACUUUUUGAAAUUUUGAAAUUUUGAAAUUUGUAUAGAUUCAUAUUCAAACUUCUUUUGUUCAUAACUUGAGUUUCGUAACUCCGAUUUAGUUGAUUCUUUUUGCAAAUCGAAGCUCUUGACCUAAACUUUCUGAUUAGGCCAAAUUCACAUAAUUUUGGUACUGUUAGAAAUUGUUUUAUGUUGCAAGAGUUAUUUGCUUAGUUUUGAUGUUUUCCGAACUGUCUUCUUCGUUCUUCCCGAUCUUCUGAGUGAUUGCUUAUGUCUGGUUCUAUUGCUUGCUUACGAUAGAUUGACCGGAGUGUGACGAGUAGAACUAUCAAGAGUUUUGAGUGUGAAUUAUCUUCAUCAACAUUGCAGGCAAGUUCACACUUUGAUCAUAUCCCUUUUCAUACCCAGUUUUUAUGAAUUAGUUUCAACCCUCAAACAUUGCAUGAGUAGGAUUGAUAACAUGUGGGUAUUGGGAAGUAGUUGAUGAGGUAGGAACCUAUUGCCCUGCAUUCAAACCUUGGGAGUUACUAUUACGUUAUGCUUAUACUGCUAUGCUAUGCAUAGACGUGGUUUGGGUUUGAGAGUAUUCAUGACAGAUGUGAGAUUGUUAAUUAAUGGUUCAACUUAAGGUGGCAACUUAAAUACACAUCUGGGUGGAUUGAGGCACCUGGGUAUUCCAGCGAUUGCCUAUUUAGGCACCUGGGUAUUCCAGCGAUUGCCUGUUUUCUUUAUGGACCGUCACCCAGGCUCAAAGGGAUCAUGAGAUUAUUCAUACUAAAAACUUCCGUGUGCAGGCACAAGCUACUAUGGGCUCUAGCAUAGUUGAUUAAGUCGUGCGAACUCUUACAGUGGUAGACUAGCAGAUGUAGGGGAAAGUAGGUGUAACGCUCUACCCGAUCGUAAGGUGCUAGCGCUUCUGAAAGACUAUGUCUCGGUCAUCCGUUUCUCAAACACCAUGUAGUGCGAGAAUCCCAACGGAGGAGAUCGAGUCUUGUGGGGAAAAGUGCGCAAACCUCUGCAGAGUGUAUAAACUCAUCAUGAUUAGCCGUGUCCCCGGUUAUGGAUGUCUUGAGUAUCUAGUACUUGGAUUAUCAUGUGAAUCUCAUCAUGUGACUUUAAUUAAUUUUGUUGGGUUUUAAUGAUGAUGCUUAAUUGGGAUUGAGCGGGUGUCUACACUCUCAAUGUUUAACAACCACCAUGAUAGUUAAAUAAAAUUUAUUUCUUUGCAGUAGGGAAAAAUUGGCUUUUCGCAAAAACCUUAACCAUAGAGCUUUUCCACCAGCCAUAUAUGCAUGUAGUGAUAGCCAUAUUUCAUCAUUUCUCUAUGGUGUGAAUUUGCCAGUACAUUCAAUGUACUGACCCUUUGUGACUGCAACAUCUCAUGUUGCAGGAUUUUCUUACGACGAGUAAGUGAUACGUUAGGGUUACGAUUUCAACACUCAACUUUGUCGUUGGUGUUGAUGGGAAUCCACAACCUUGUUACUUCCGCCGUUUGGAUUGAGGUAAUAGUAUUUAUGUUACUUUAUACAUGUGAUUUACCUCUGUUUUAAAUCCUCGAGUACUGUAUGUGUCAGCAUACCGAUCCAGGGAUGACACUUAAGCACAGAGACUUGAUCCAUUCGGGUCGGGUCGCUACAAGAUGGUAUCAGAGCACAUGUUGACUGUAGGACGUGACCCUAAAAAUUGGCAAGCCCAUAGGAAAGAUUUUCUCUACAACUUCAUUUUCAAAAGAUCUUUUACCUCUCUUCUCUUAUGAGCUUAUUCAAAUAUUCCCUUUUAGUGAGACCAUACCCCUUUUCCCUUUUGACCACGAAGAUUCGACUGAUGAGACCACUCCAAGAAGUACAAGAUAUCGAACAAGUAAGAUCAUUUCGGAAUGAAGAGGAUUUUAUCGUGCAUUAUAAUAAUGGAAACUACAACGGGUGAAGACUUCGAAGACUAGGAGAAUUUGAAGGCCAUGUAGAAUUUUCCAAAUUUGUAUGACCUAGGAAGGCACCCCUUAUGGAACUUGGCAGACUAUUGAAGCUGUCAAUACCCGAGAUCAAGGUGUAUCGGAGAAAGACCGAAACAUGGAGCAUGAGAACUCAAAGUUUUGUCAAGAAAACCCUAAGGCAGGAGAUAUCAACUAUGGAAGACAGCUCAUGGCAAUGACAAGGGAAGAAACACGGUUAUCCGUGAUGUCAUCGCCACUGAUACUAUGGUCACCGAGCUGAGCUAAGCUUGCAUUUCUUCGGAAGCAUUGGAUGGUAGAAGGCUGAUGGAGCACCUAUCAGCAAAAGAUGAAGUUUUAUCCUUAGCCGGUGUAUCACCAGGAUCUGGAGUAGUACAUUAAGAAUUCUAAGAUGGAGCUCUAGGAAGCCAUAUUUGACAAGGAAGCAUUCAUGAAGAACUUAGGACCUAGAAGCUGAAAGUAGCCAAGUUGGAGGAGCAAAACCUCGAGAUACUGGAGAUUCGUCAGGAACUGAAGGACAGUAGAACAUGGUUCAUGCCAAGGAUAAUCAAACCCAGAAGUUUGGGAUGCAAUUCCAGAAUAAUAAAGGACGUCAUGAGAGACUUCGCAUCAACAUAGAUGAUCUAGUAAAAGAACUUGAGAAGACAAGCAUGAUCGGAAGAAGCCAUUGGAAGCACGAACAAGACUUGAAGAGUUUGGCGACGUUGAAGAUUUAUUGACCAUUAGAAGACCAAACCCCUGUUAUACACUUACGUUAGAUGCGACGAUUGUGAGCUGUCAUUUGUUUGAUGUUUUUCGACAGCCACAAUAAAAAUCUGUCUUUUCAAAACUAUUUUUUGUAUUGUGUGCAUCUCGCUCUAUCUCUCUUGUCCCACCCCAAAACCCAUGUACCCAAUAGAGGAUGAAUGGAGUUGAGCUUGUAAUUUUCUGGACCAAUGAGUCAAUUGGAUACGGACCGAUGGAUUCAGAACAUGGAGGAUCACAUGGAGAAUAACCCUAUAGUUGGAAAUGAUAUGACCCCAAAUGCUCUUUAGUGUUUUGAAAGAGGUGCUGCUACUUGGUAGAGGAUGUACCAAACCAUGAAUGGAUGGCAAGGAGCAACCACUUGGAAAGAAUUUAAGUUGACUCUGCCAAAGUCUCGGCUUGUGUCCCAGAAGUUGAAGCCUUAUGGAAAGGAUAUGAAGAAACCUUGUGCAUGCAAGAUUUGUGGAGAAAUAGGACACACCCAUAAAGAACACAAGGAUGAAUGCCCUAAUCGUGAAGGAAGUCACCCAGUUGAAGAAUGCCCAACUAGGCAGAUUACUUGUUUCUUGUGUGAAGGGACUACCCACUAUCCUACUCAGUGUCACAUUUACCCCAUGGUACGAAGAACCGUACAACAGAAGAAAGAAGUAAAGAAAGGAGUCCUUAUGGAAAUUUUAGAAGAACCCGUGAUGAACGAAGAUGUGGAGGACACACCUAAAGAAGACCUGAGUAAACCCUGCACUAAGUCUUGCUAUUCAUGUGGAGAAGAAGGACACAUCUCCCAAAAUUGUUUGAAUGGGGAUCUAGUAGAAUUCCCGACAGAGGAAGUAGAAUAUGACCCACAGGAAAUAGAAGCCCUGAUUGGAAUGGAAAAGUCCAGGAAGAGAAACCGAUUGGAGCCCAGGAGGGACCUGAGUCAUAUCACCUGUUACAGGUGCAAGGAGUCAGGGCACUACGUCAACAGUUGCCCAAAAAGGAAACCUCGAUACUUGUCAGAAGUAAUAUGUUUUAGUUGUAAUGGAGCAGGGCACUUUGCCAGAGAAUGCCCUAAGGAGAAGGAGACUUGUGAUAAUUAGUGGUGUCUGUGAGAAGUAUAGUAGUAGUAGUAGUAGUACUGAGAGCAUUUUUUUCUUUGAGGUGUUGAGUUGAGACAUGUAAUGGAAAAGCGAGAGAUUGUAAUCAAUUGAGAGUGAAUAAAGUUAGCAUCGUUGGUACUGAUAUGGAUUUUAUGAGUUGUUACUCUAUGAAGAAGGAUUUUGACCAUUUUUUGGAUAUGAUAAAUAUGGUCUAUGGAAGAUUUGUGCAUUUUUAGGGUGGUAGUACCCUGUAAGAACCCUUGACCCCUGGAAAAGAUAAGGAUACUCCACUGAGUGGAUUUCAGACAAAAUGAAUACGAGUUUUGUCUCGAUAUGUGUGAUACCCCAAGAGUAUGUGGGACGAAGUUGGAGACCUUCAGUUGUUUGGACCAAAUGUGAUCAAGGAGUCAGAAGAGAAUGUUAAGUUGAUUCGAGAUAGACUGAAGGUAGCUCAGUCUAGGCAGAGGAGAUAUGCGGACUCAAAAACUCAAGGAGGUAGUCUAUGAGAUUGGAGACAGAGCAUGUCUUCGUACCCUCCACGAGGAGUUAAACGAUUUGUAGUUAAGGGAAAGUUAGCCCUGAGAUUUGUAAGACCAUACCGAGUUUUGGAGCGUAUGGGAGAAGUGGCCAACAAGUUGGAGUCACCCGAAGGACUGUCAGGAGUUCAUGAUGUGUUUUACGUUUCCCAGUUGAAGAAGUGCCAUGUAGAGAUGGCCAAUAUUCCCCUGUAAGGAUGCUUGACCCUGGAAAGGAUAAUGGUGUCCCACGAAGUGGAAUAUGGACUUCAUAAUUAUAAGUUUUAUCUCGGUAUGUGGGAUAUCCCAUGAGGAUGAAGAGAUGAAUUACUAUUGGAUAUAAAGUAGGUAUGAUGUUGGAAAUAUGGAUCAAUGGAAAUUCCACGAUGAGUCUGAGUAAUCAUGCCCUAGUUUGGUGCCAAUAGAAGGAAGGGAGACAAUACAAAUGGAUGGAUUUUUAGUAUGCUAGGAAGCUGGAAGUUGGAUGUUGGAUUAGAGAUCCGUUGCCCCGGUGAUGAGUUCAAGGUUUGCAAGUGAUGAGACGGGUCAUAACCCACAGGCCCCAGGACCUGCCAAGAAGCAAGCACAUUCUUGCUGAAGGAAAAACCUUGGAAGAAGAAGUUACGUUUAACGACAGAUGAUCUUAUAGGAGUUUACGCAAAACCUGAGAGUUGUGAAGGAACGAUAGAUGUUUAUUUGGGUUGCAGAAUCCAUGGAUUUAUCCGAACUUGGUUCGUUGACAAGAGAAAUUCUGCAAUGCUUGUGAGGAUGACCGAGUGUUAGAAUGCGAGAUUCACUAAACCGUAUACAGGGUAAUGAUUUGGGUGUGGGAUGGAUUGAUCACCAUACCGACUUACUCUUAUUAUUCGACUUGCUAUAUGGGAUGGUAAAUCUGAGAGACUUACCUAUAGUAGAGAGAUGACGAUCAAAAACCUUGUUUAAACCUUAGAAUGGUAUAGCAAUUUUUCCCUUGUACAAGGCAGCUUUUGCCAAUCGUAGGUUAUACGGUGAGGAUCAACCCAGACCCAUUUCCUGCAGGAGAAACCAUAAAUGGAUGACCGCCAUGAGAUGUCGAUAGUUGUUUAGUUUUUGUGCCAGACCUGUCAGCUAAGAAGACCCAGUCAUGGAAGAACCUUACCAAGAUGAAAUGACAGAAGAAUUGAGGAAAAGGUUAUGCCACUACCGAAAUAGCCCAGAUAAGGAAUUAUCCUGAAGAUCUGAGAAGACCAGCCCUAUCAAGAAUAAGGAUGGAGUAUAUGAGUAUUGAUGGGACCGUAAUGAUGUUUCUAAGGGUGGUAGCACCCCAGACCCCUGGAAAUGAUCGAUGGAUUUUGAGAAGACCCCAACCCUAACCUAUUUCUUUCUAGCCUCUCCGAAUCUCGAGGACGAGAUUCAUUUUAAGGGUGGUAGGUUUGUAACAUCCCAAAAUUCUAAAUUUUGGAAUGUUAUAAUAAAUAGAUAGAUUGAUUGAUUGUUUGAUUGUUGUGUGAUUGAUUGAGUGAAAUUCGAAACUUUUUGAAAGUUAAAUGAGAGGGAAUAAAAGGACUUUCCCAAACUUUCACCUUUUCCAUUUUGAUCUCCGUGAAUUCAAAUUCUUUUCAAAUACAAAACCCACGAGAGAAGAUGACAUGACUUCUUCCAUUUAAAUAAAUGAAAAGGGUUUUGAAAAUAUUUGAAUUUCAUUUGGAAAUAUUUUUAAUUGAAAAACUUCAAGCAACUCAAUGAUUUUCAUGAGAGAAGAUAAAAUGACUUCUUCAAAUUAUAUGAAAUAUGAGUCGGGAGUUUAAAAGGAUCAAAAAUUAAAAUCCUUUUGAAAUUAUUUUCAAUUUGGAGUUAUUUGGGUUUUAUUAAAAUUAUUUUUCUCCAAAAAUAAAAUAUACGUAAAAUAGGUUAACAUGAUUCCCUACAUCAGAAAUUUGGAGAUAAAUAAAUUUGAAUUAAUUUUGGUAUUUUUAAAAUGAUUUUUAUUGUAUUUUAUUAGACCAGUAGCACUCUUUGAAUUAUCUGAAUUUGUGUGAAUUUUAUUUAAUGCUAAGAAAAUGUUCAGCUUCUAGAAAAUCUUUUUCUGAAAAUUUUAAUAUAUAAUAUGCCUAUAUAAAGUUUUAGUUUUAUUUCCGUUUUUCAGUUUAUCGCUUUUUGUUUUAAAAAAACAAAUAACAAAAACUGCGCGCGCGCCUGAAACUAACUGUCGCCCACGUGCGCAUCAUAGUACCAGCGGGCGCCCCAUCUUUUCCUUUUCUUUAUCCUAUAUGGGCCAGGCCGAGCCGGCCAUAUUCCUUCCUCAUAUUUUUUUCUACAGUUUUUCUUUUCUUUUCUAUUGCUCAAAAAAAAAUUACUGUGUGCGCGGCCGGCCGAACCGUGCCUUUUGGCCCAUGGCGCACCUCCCAUCUCUGUUUUGUAUAUUUUCGUCUACGUUUAGUCCCACAUUACCUAGCCUUUGACCCUUAAACCUCUUUUUCACCUAUAAAUAUAGACCCAGAGCCUCCAAAAAUCAUCCGAUUCGGGUUAAAUCAAUAUUUUGGUUUGACUAGAUAAAAAUAUUUUUCUCCUCUCCGGCGCGACUUUUGGAAAUUGUCUCCUUUCUCCAAAGUCAUCUUUUCUCCGCCUUAUAAAAGUAUCUUUCUUUAUACUU